GCACAGCUGGGAGGAAUGCACACCAUUUCAACUGGUGCCAGACAGAAGGGGUUAUGACCAGGCAGAUUCCUGCUGACCACAUAUUUGCUUUGAGGGAAAACGGUGGCAACUGGGUGGCCCUCGCUAAUUCUUUUACAAAUUGGAGGCUGCUCACAGUUGUAGAUCUUGGAAAUCGAUCAGACACAAAUAAAGCAAACAGAUCCCCAGUCACCACAAGCAUAUCAUUUGUCAGAGUGCCUCAAAACUGCCCACGGACGUACAAGCUGAUAAUAUUUGAUCCAGACAAUGACCAAGCCAGAUGCAGAUAUGGCACUGACCAUGUUUCUGAAUGUUCUGGCUGUCAGCUUCCUUCCGGGUUUAGGCUGAAUCAAACCAGAAUCAAAGAGAAGGAUUUCUGCGCUCUAAGUUAUGACUAUUCCUCAGUUGGUGUCUAUGGGUUAGAGCUGGCUGUGGAAGAUUUCCCCCAACAAAACAUCAGUCUCUCCUACAAAAAUGGCUCCCACUCUAUCAGGAGUCCAUUUAAUCAAGCUGCCAUCUUCACACUUCAACUUAGCCAACUUCCUCUGCACUUUGCUGUCAAAGUUGACCCCGCUGUGGAAUCUUGUGAUGAAGGAGUAUACUUGCCAAAGUUCCUUCACCCUACCCCAGAGAAUGGAGAACAAAUUCAAGCUAAGAUCAACCAGGAGCUUGAGAUCAUAAUCCAUGCAACAGCCUCUGCCACUGUGGUUCAUAAUAUCACCAUAAGUGGACCCCUGAACAUCACAGUCAACAAGUACAACAAUGGUUCUGAACAGUUUGUUCUGAGGUGGACUCCAAGGGCCGAUGAUCUUGGGGAAUAUUUUCCCGUCUGUUUCAUUGCUGAAAGUCACACAGUAAAUAACACCUACUAUCAAUCUGACAUGAGAUGCGUCAUUGUCGAAGUUGGAAAUGAUACAGAUUCUGAUUCAGCCGUUCCAACUGGAGAGAGUACUAUGUUGACGGAGAUAGUGGCUGGCCUGAGGAUGAAGAUUGAAUCUGAAACUUCACUAACUGAAGCCGAGAUCGAAGAAACGAUCAUAAAGCCGUUUCAAGAGGAGCUUAUCCGUCAUGGUCUACCCAACAGUACCACUCUAAGUCUGAGACGAGUACAUCAGAUCAACCCAUGAGGAAUCCACCAGGACUACUAUUCCAGGCACAAAGGUGCUCUAAAAAGGACUUUCUCUCUGUCCCAAACCAGUGAAGCCCCU
Clupea harengus (Atlantic herring) is the source of this 1226-nucleotide long non-coding RNA. The record is from Ensembl. Lineage: Eukaryota; Metazoa; Chordata; Actinopteri; Clupeiformes; Clupeidae.